GUCCACGCCGUAACGAUGGAAGCUAGCCGUUGGUGGGUUUACUCAUCAGUGGCGCAGCUAACGCAUUAAGCUUCCCGCCUGGGAGUACGGUCGCAAGAUUAAACUCAAAGGAAUUGACGGGGCCCGCACAAGCGGUGGAGCAUGUGGUUCAAUUCGAAGCAACGCGAAGAACCUUACCAGCCUUUGACAUGCCUCGUAUGGUCGCCAGAGAUGGCUUCCUUCCCGCAAGGGCGAGUGCACAGGUGCUGCAUGGCUGUCGU
Molecule: ribosomal RNA, 260 nt
Filed under: uncultured bacterium
Lineage: Bacteria
Description: partial 16S ribosomal RNA
Rfam family: Bacterial small subunit ribosomal RNA
Source: RNAcentral